Molecule: ribosomal RNA, 548 nt
Filed under: uncultured Glomeromycotina
Lineage: Eukaryota; Fungi; Glomeromycota
Description: SSU rRNA
Rfam family: Eukaryotic small subunit ribosomal RNA
Source: RNAcentral
UUGGAGGGCAAGUCUGGUGCCAGCAGCCGCGGUAAUUCCAGCUCCAAUAGCGUAUAUUAAAGUUGUUGCAGUUAAAAAGCUCGUAGUUGAAUUUCGAGACCGGUUUAUUGGUCGUGCUUUUGUACGUACUGGUAUUAUUGGUUUCUCCUUUCUGACGAAUCUUAAUGCCAUUAAUUUGGUGUUUUGGGGAAUCAGGACUGUUACUUUGAAAAAAUUAGAGUGUUUAAAGCAGGCUCACGCUUGAAUACAUUAGCAUGGAAUAACGGAAUAGGACGUUUGAUUCUAUUUUGUUGGUUUCUAGGAUCGACGUAAUGAUUAAUAGGGAUAGUUGGGGGCAUUAGUAUUCAAUUGUCAGAGGUGAAAUUCUUGGAUUUAUUGAAGACUAACUACUGCGAAAGCAUUUGCCAAGGAUGUUUUCAUUAAUCAAGAACGAAAGUUAGGGGAUCGAAGACGAUCAGAUACCGUCGUAGUCUUAACCAUAAACUAUGCCGACUAGGGAUCGGAUGAUGUUAAUUUUUUAAUGACUCAUUCGGCGCCUUACGGGAACC